Long non-coding RNA from Oncorhynchus tshawytscha (Chinook salmon), 574 nucleotides. The record is from Ensembl. NCBI's taxonomy places the organism in Eukaryota, Metazoa, Chordata, Actinopteri, Salmoniformes, Salmonidae.
GAGUGUGUGUGUGUGUGUGUGUGAGAGAGGGAGUGUGUGUGUGUGUGUGAGAGAGGGAGUGUGUGUGUGUGAGAGAGGGAGUGUGUGUGUGUGAGAGAGGGAGUGUGUGUGUGUGAGAGAGGGAGUGUGUGUGUGUGUGAGAGAGGGAGUGUGUGUGAGUGUGUGUGUGAGAGAGGGAGUGUGUGUGUGUGAGGAAGUGUGUGUGUGUGAGGAAGUCUGUGUGUGUGUGUGAGGGAGUCUGUGUGUGUGUGUGUGAGAGAGGCUUUGUGUGUGAGAGAGGCUUUGUGUGUGAGAGAGGCUUUGUGUGUGAGAGAGGCUUUGUGUGUGUGAGAGGCUGUGUGUGUGUGAGAGGAAGUGUGUGUGUGUGUGUGUGUGAGAGAGGGAGUGUGUGUGAGAGAGGGAGUGUGUGUGUGAGAGAGAGUGUGUAUGUGUGUGUGAGAGGGGGAGUGUGUGUGUGUGAGAGAGGGAGUGUGUGUGUGUGAGAGAGGGAGUGUGUGUAUGUGUGAGUGAAAGAGGGAGUGUGUGUGAGAGAGUGUGUGUGUGUGAGAGGGAGUGUGUGUGUGGGAGUGGGGGA